Molecule: ribosomal RNA, 507 nt
Filed under: Xixuthrus heros
Lineage: Eukaryota; Metazoa; Arthropoda; Insecta; Coleoptera; Cerambycidae
Description: SSU rRNA
Rfam family: Eukaryotic small subunit ribosomal RNA
Source: RNAcentral
GUACACUCUAAACCCUUUAACGAGGAUCAAUUGGAGGGCAAGUCUGGUGCCAGCAGCCGCGGUAAUUCCAGCUCCAAUAGCGUAUAUUAAAGUUGUUGCGGUUAAAAAGCUCGUAGUCGAAUCUGUGUCCCGCGCCGCCGGUUCAUCGUCCGCGGUGUUAACUGGCGUGUCGCGAGACGUCCUGCCGGUGGGCUUAGCUCGCAAGGGCGACGGCCCAACUCAAUCCCGCCGCGGUGCUCUUCACUGAGUGUCGAGGUGGGCCGGCACGUUUACUUUGAACAAAUUAGAGUGCUUAAAGCAGGCUAAAACUUCGCCUGAAUACUGUGUGCAUGGAAUAAUGGAAUAGGACCUCGGUUCUAUUUUGUUGGUUUUCGGAACCCCGAGGUAAUGAUUAAUAGGAACGGAUGGGGGCAUUCGUAUUGCGACGUUAGAGGUGAAAUUCUUGGAUCGUCGCAAGACGGACAGAAGCGAAAGCAUUUGCCAAAAACGCUUUCAUUGAUCAAGAAC